AAUAGAUACCCCGGUAGUCCACGCCGUAAACGAUGAGUGCUAAGUGUUAGGGGGUUUCCGCCCCUUAGUGCUGCAGCUAACGCAUUAAGCACUCCGCCUGGGGGAGUACGGUCGCAAGACUGAAACUCAAAGGAAUUGACGGGGGCCCGCACAAGCGGUGGAGCAUGUGGUUUAAUUCGAAGCAACGCGAAGAACCUUACCAGGUCUUGACAUCCCACUGACCGCUAUGGAGACAUAGCUUUCCCUUCGGGGACAGUGGUGACAGGUGGUGCAUGGUUGUCGUCAGCUCGUGUCGUGAGAUGUUGGGUUAAGUCCCGCAACGAGCGCAACCCUUGUCCUUAGUUGCCAUCAUUUAGUUGGGCACUCUAAGGAGACUGCCGAUGACAAAUCGGAGGAAGGUGGGGAUGACGUCAAAUCAUCAUGCCCCUUAUGACCUGGGCUACACACGUGCUACAAUGGACGGUACAAACGGUUGCGAAGUCGCGAGAUGGAGCUAAUCUGAUAAAACCCGUUNUCAGUUCGGA
This 524-nucleotide ribosomal RNA is filed under the name uncultured bacterium. Its description in RNAcentral is "bacterial SSU rRNA". It matches the Rfam family "Bacterial small subunit ribosomal RNA", at positions 777 to 1297 of the family's 1533-position model. The record is from RNAcentral.